UACGAAGGGGGCUAGCGUUGCUCGGAAUCACUGGGCGUAAAGGGCGCGUAGGCGGCGUUUUAAGUUGGGGGUGAAAGCCUGUGGCUCAACCACAGAAUUGCCUUCGAUACUGGGACGCUUGAGCGUGGUAGAGGUUGGUGGAACUGCGAGUGUAGAGGUGAAAUUCGUAGAUAUUCGCAAGAACACCGGUGGCGAAGGCGGCCAACUGGACCAUCACUGACGCUGAGGCGCGAAAGCGUGGGGAGCAAACAGG
This 253-nucleotide ribosomal RNA is filed under the name uncultured bacterium. RNAcentral's name for it is "partial 16S ribosomal RNA". It matches the Rfam family "Bacterial small subunit ribosomal RNA", at positions 524 to 776 of the family's 1533-position model. The record is from RNAcentral.